RNAcentral lists this transfer RNA (89 nucleotides) under candidate division WWE3 bacterium. RNAcentral's name for it is "tRNA-Leu". It matches the Rfam family "tRNA". Rfam says of the family: Transfer RNA (tRNA) molecules are approximately 80 nucleotides in length. Their secondary structure includes four short double-helical elements and three loops (D, anti-codon, and T loops). The record is from RNAcentral. Lineage: Bacteria; candidate division WWE3.
GCCGAGGUGGCGGAAUUGGUAGACGCGCAACGUUGAGGUCGUUGUGGGCGAUUUAGCCCGUGGAGGUUCAAGUCCUCUCCUCGGCACCA